CCAAUAGCGUAUAUUAAAGUUGUUGCAGUUAAAAAGCUCGUAGUUGAAUUUCGGGAUUAGUACGCUGGUCGUGCCUUCGGUACGUACUGGUGUUACUGAUUCCUACCUUCUGACGAACCAUCAUGUCAUUAAUUUGGUGUGGUGGGAAAUCAGGACUGUUACUUUGAAAAAAUUAGAGUGUUUAAAGCAGGCUCGCGCUUGAAUACAUUAGCAUGGAAUAAUGAAAUAGGACGUUGAUCCUAUUUUGUUGGUUUCUAGGAUUGACGUAAUGAUUAAUAGGGAUAGUUGGGGGCAUUAGUAUUCAAUUGUCAGAGGUGAAAUUCUUGGAUUUAUUGAAGACUAACUACUGCGAAAGCAUUUGCCAAGGAUGUUUUCAUUAAUCAAGAACGAAAGUUAGUGGAUCGAAGACGAUCAGAUACCGUCGUAGUCUUAACCAUAAACUAUGCCGACUAGGGAUCGGAUGAUGUUAUUUUUAAUGACUCAUUCGGCGCCUUAUG
RNAcentral lists this ribosomal RNA (497 nucleotides) under uncultured Glomeromycotina. Its description in RNAcentral is "partial small subunit ribosomal RNA". It matches the Rfam family "Eukaryotic small subunit ribosomal RNA", at positions 591 to 1092 of the family's 1831-position model. Lineage: Eukaryota; Fungi; Glomeromycota. The record is from RNAcentral.